This 253-nucleotide ribosomal RNA is filed under the name uncultured bacterium. RNAcentral describes it as "partial 16S ribosomal RNA". It matches the Rfam family "Bacterial small subunit ribosomal RNA", at positions 524 to 776 of the family's 1533-position model. The record is from RNAcentral.
UACGUAGGGAGCAAGCGUUAUCCGGAUUUAUUGGGUGUAAAGGGUGCGUAGACGGGAAGUCAAGUUAGUUGUGAAAUCCCUCGGCUUAACUGAGGAACUGCAACUAAAACUAACUUUCUUGAGUGCUGGAGAGGAAAGUGGAAUUCCUAGUGUAGCGGUGAAAUGCGUAGAUAUUAGGAGGAACACCAGUGGCGAAGGCGGCUUACUGGACCGUAACUGACGUUGAGGCACGAAAGUGUGGGGAGCAAACAGG